GGGGGCGACUUGGUAUCGACGGAGAUACUGAACCCUGUGGGGCAUGUCGGGUUGUUGGUCCCGUAAAAAGCUGGCACUUGCAUAUAAUUGCAAACGACGACGUAGAACUAGCUUACGCUGCGUAAGUUACCCCG
Molecule: transfer-messenger RNA, 134 nt
Filed under: Mariprofundus sp.
Lineage: Bacteria; Pseudomonadati; Pseudomonadota; Candidatius Mariprofundia; Mariprofundales; Mariprofundaceae
Description: partial transfer-messenger RNA
Rfam family: transfer-messenger RNA
About the family: Bacterial tmRNA, also known as 10Sa RNA or SsrA, is named for its dual tRNA and mRNA-like properties. Its role is to liberate the mRNA from a stalled ribosome.
Source: RNAcentral